UGGUAGGAGAGCGUUCUAAGGGCGUCGAAGCAUGAUCGCAAGGACAUGUGGAGCGCUUAGAAGUGAGAAUGCCGGUGUGAGUAGCGAAAGACGGGUGAGAAUCCCGUCCACCGAUUGACUAAGGUUGUCAGAGGAAGGCUCGUCCGCUCUGGGUUAGUCGGGUCCUAAGCUGAGGCCGACAGGCGUAGGCGAUGGAUAACAGGUUGAUAUUCCUGUACCACCUAGUAUCGUUUUAAUCGAUGGGGGGACGCAGU
Molecule: ribosomal RNA, 254 nt
Filed under: Staphylococcus warneri
Lineage: Bacteria; Bacillati; Bacillota; Bacilli; Caryophanales; Staphylococcaceae
Description: partial 23S ribosomal RNA
Rfam family: Bacterial large subunit ribosomal RNA
Source: RNAcentral